AUGGCGGUGAACAUAAACGGUGAGAUUGGCCCCUACUUCCCCACAUUCUGUGGGGUCCGGCAGGGCGAUCCCUUCUCUCCGUUUCUCUUCAAUGUGGUUGUUGAUGCGCUAGCGUACAUCCUUGAUAAGGCCAAAGUGGUUGGGCAUAUUAGAGGCAUUGACCCACACCUGGUAGGCCGGAAUGGGAUUUCCCUUCUCCAAUACACGGAUGACGCAAUUAUAAUGGUGGAAGGCUCAGCGAACGACAUCAUGAACCUGAAGUUCCUCCUGCUAUGCUUUCAGCACAUGUCUGGCCUCAGGAUCAACUUUGAUAAGAGUGCGGUCAUGGUCUUGGGAUACAAGAUGAACGAACGUCAGAGCAUCGCGGACCGCCUUAACUGCCAGCUUGGGUGCUUCCCCACAACAUAUUUAGGGAUCCCCAUUAGUGACACGAGGCUCACGGUGGCCGAGCUGCACCCCACGGUGGGGAAGCUUCAGCACCGCAUUGAACCUUGGUAG
This 498-nucleotide ribosomal RNA is filed under the name Triticum aestivum (bread wheat). RNAcentral's name for it is "partial small subunit ribosomal RNA". The record is from RNAcentral. Lineage: Eukaryota; Viridiplantae; Streptophyta; Magnoliopsida; Poales; Poaceae.